UCCGGGAUCGUCUAACUGGCAGGAUGCCUGAUUUUGGCUCAGGCGAUGAGGGUCCGAAUCCUUCUCCCGGAG
RNAcentral lists this transfer RNA (72 nucleotides) under Acidobacteriota bacterium. Its description in RNAcentral is "tRNA-Gln". It matches the Rfam family "tRNA". Rfam says of the family: Transfer RNA (tRNA) molecules are approximately 80 nucleotides in length. Their secondary structure includes four short double-helical elements and three loops (D, anti-codon, and T loops). Further hydrogen bonds mediate the characteristic L-shaped molecular structure. tRNAs have two regions of fundamental functional importance: the anti-codon, which is responsible for specific mRNA codon recognition, and the 3' end, to which the tRNAs corresponding amino acid is attached (by aminoacyl-tRNA synthetases). tRNAs cope with the degeneracy of the genetic code in two manners: having more than one tRNA (with a specific anti-codon) for a particular amino acid; and 'wobble' base-pairing, i.e. permitting non-standard base-pairing at the 3rd anti-codon position. Lineage: Bacteria; Pseudomonadati; Acidobacteriota. The record is from RNAcentral.